This is a long non-coding RNA of Heteronotia binoei (common prickly gecko), 451 nucleotides long. RefSeq lists it as uncharacterized. The record is from RefSeq and is a predicted model, not a curated record. The transcript is spliced from 2 exons. NCBI's taxonomy places the organism in Eukaryota, Metazoa, Chordata, Lepidosauria, Squamata, Gekkonidae.
GGGUGCUGGUGUACGCGUAGUGUGGCAAAGGGGAGCCAUUUUGAAGGGGGGAGGGCUGGGAUUGUUGUGGUUUGUUGUACCGCAGCCUGGGAUCCCCAAUGUGUCCGCUUGACUAGAGGCCUCUUGGGCGGCGAGUGGCUUCUUUCCCUUGAGAUGCUUCCUGUGGAAAGUAAGUCAAGAUGUCUUGAAAGUCAGGAUGGAUCAGCAGUUGAACCAUGUUCUAAAAAAAUGAAAUCAACAGAAGAGCCUUAUGGCAAAUCCUAUGAUGGAUUGCAAAGCCUAUAUGAAGAAGUACACAUUAAAAAAACCCAUAGUGGGUUUAUACCUCUGUCCCUCUCUGAUGAUGAGGAUGGAAUACAUGAAACUACGGGAGACCGGGUCCCACCUAAAAAAGUGUUCCUUGGUAUAAAGCCAGUGACGUAUAAGCCUUCAAAGGCAACAAAUAAUGAAA